This 253-nucleotide ribosomal RNA is filed under the name uncultured bacterium. Its description in RNAcentral is "partial 16S ribosomal RNA". It matches the Rfam family "Bacterial small subunit ribosomal RNA", at positions 524 to 776 of the family's 1533-position model. The record is from RNAcentral.
UACGUAGGCAGCAAGCGUUGUUCGGAUUUACUGGGCGUAAAGGGUGUGUAGGCGGUUCCUUAAGUUUGCUGUGAAAUCUCCCGGCUUAACCGGGAGGGUGCGGUGAAUACUGAGGGACUAGAGUACGGGAGAGGAAAGUGGAAUUCCUGGUGUAGCGGUGAAAUGCGUAGAUAUCAGGAGGAACACCGGUGGUGUAGACGGCUUUCUGGACCGUAACUGACGCUGAGACACGAAAGCUAGGGGAGCAAACAGG